This 422-nucleotide ribosomal RNA is filed under the name Streptomycetaceae bacterium Ellin7009. Its description in RNAcentral is "bacterial SSU rRNA". It matches the Rfam family "Bacterial small subunit ribosomal RNA", at positions 28 to 454 of the family's 1533-position model. The record is from RNAcentral. Lineage: Bacteria; Bacillati; Actinomycetota; Actinomycetes; Kitasatosporales; Streptomycetaceae.
GACGAACGCUGGCGGCGUGCUUAACACAUGCAAGUCGAACGAUGAAGCCCUUCGGGGUGGAUUAGUGGCGAACGGGUGAGUAACACGUGGGCAAUCUGCCCUUCACUCUGGGACAAGCCCUGGAAACGGGGUCUAAUACCGGAUAACACCUGCCCGGGCAUCCGGGUGGGUUAAAAGCUCCGGCGGUGAAGGAUGAGCCCGCGGCCUAUCAGCUUGUUGGUGAGGUAGUGGCUCACCAAGGCGACGACGGGUAGCCGGCCUGAGAGGGCGACCGGCCACACUGGGACUGAGACACGGCCCAGACUCCUACGGGAGGCAGCAGUGGGGAAUAUUGCACAAUGGGCGAAAGCCUGAUGCAGCGACGCCGCGUGAGGGAUGACGGCCUUCGGGUUGUAAACCUCUUUCAGCAGGGAAGAAGCGAA